RNAcentral lists this ribosomal RNA (253 nucleotides) under uncultured bacterium. Its description in RNAcentral is "partial 16S ribosomal RNA". It matches the Rfam family "Bacterial small subunit ribosomal RNA", at positions 524 to 776 of the family's 1533-position model. The record is from RNAcentral.
GACGAGCCUCACGAACGUUAUUCGGAAUUACUGGGCUUAAAGGGUGCGUAGGCGGCGCGGAAAGUAGGGUGUGAAAUCCCUCGGCUCAACCGAGGAACUGCGCUCUAAACUACCGUGCUCGAGGGAGAUAGAGGUAAGCGGAACUUAGGGUGGAGCGGUGAAAUGCGUUGAUAUCCUGAGGAACACCGGUGGCGAAAGCGGCUUACUGGAUCUCUUCUGACGCUGAGGCACGAAAGCUAGGGUAGCGAACGGG